Molecule: ribosomal RNA, 492 nt
Filed under: uncultured bacterium
Lineage: Bacteria
Description: partial 16S ribosomal RNA
Rfam family: Bacterial small subunit ribosomal RNA
Source: RNAcentral
AGUGAACGCUGGCGGUAGGCCUAACACAUGCAAGUCGAACGGCAGCACAGUAAGAGCUUGCUCUUACGGGUGGCGAGUGGCGGACGGGUGAGGAAUACAUCGGAAUCUACUUUUUCGUGGGGGAUAACGUAGGGAAACUUACGCUAAUACCGCAUACGACCUACGGAUGAAAGCAGGGGAUCUUCGGACCUUGCGCGAUUGAAUGAGCCGAUGUCGGAUUAGCUAGUUGGCGGGGUAAAGGCCCACCAAGGCGACGAUCCGUAGCUGGUCUGAGAGGAUGAUCAGCCACACUGGAACUGAGACACGGUCCAGACUCCUACGGGAGGCAGCAGUGGGGAAUAUUGGACAAUGGGCGAAAGCCUGAUCCAGCCAUACCGCGUGAGUGAAGAAGGCCUUCGGGUUGUAAAGCCCUUUUGUUGGGAAAGAAAAGCAGCAGGUUAAUACCCCGCUGUUCUGACGGUACCCAAAGAAUAAGCACCGGCUAACUUCGUG